AGCUCGUGUCGUGAGAUGUUCGGGUUAAGUCCCGGCAACGAGCGCAACCCCUAUUGUUAGUUGCCAUCAUUCAGUUGGGCACUCUAGCGAGACUGCCGGUAAUAAACCGGAGGAAGGUGGGGAUGACGUCAAAUCAUCAUGCCCCUUAUGACCUGGGCUACACACGUGCUACAAUGGUUGGUACAACGAGUUGCGAGUCGGUGACGGCGAGCUAAUCUCUUAAAGCCAAUCUCAGUUCGGAUUGUAGGCUGCAACUCGCCUACAUGAAGUCGGAAUCGCUAGUAAUCGCGGAUCAGCACGCCGCGGUGAAUACGUUCCCGGGCCUU
Molecule: ribosomal RNA, 326 nt
Filed under: uncultured Streptococcus sp.
Lineage: Bacteria; Bacillati; Bacillota; Bacilli; Lactobacillales; Streptococcaceae
Description: bacterial SSU rRNA
Rfam family: Bacterial small subunit ribosomal RNA
Source: RNAcentral